This 308-nucleotide unclassified non-coding RNA is filed under the name plant metagenome. Its description in RNAcentral is "partial contains 5.8S ribosomal RNA, internal transcribed spacer 2, and large subunit ribosomal RNA". The stretch from base 1 to 103 matches the Rfam family "5.8S ribosomal RNA", at positions 52 to 154 of the family's 154-position model. The record is from RNAcentral.
AAUGCGAUAAGUAAUGUGAAUUGCAGAAUUCAGUGAAUCAUCGAAUCUUUGAACGCACAUUGCGCCCGCCAGUAUUCUGGCGGGCAUGCCUGUUCGAGCGUCAUUUCAACCAUCAAGCCCCCGGGCUUGUGUUGGGGACCUGCGGCUGCCGCAGGCCCCGAAAACCAGUGGCGGGCUCGCUGUCACACCGGGCGUAGUAGAUUUUUCGUCUCGCCCAGGGCGUGCUGCGGGUUCCGGCCGUUAAAAAGCCUCUCUUUUUAACCCAAGGUUGACCUCGGAUCAGGUAGGAAGACCCGCUGAACUUAAGC